ACACCACACCCCCAGCCUAAACACUGACAUUGUUCCAAGUCAAUAGAGGGUUGGGGAAUCUGCAUUUUGCAAUGAGCAGCCUGGCUGAUUCUGAUGUAGAUGGUCCAAGGAACCAAGGAACUGUGGGGCACAUAGCCACAGACUAUGUUCAUGCAACAACUAUUUUUUAUUGAACGUUGGAUACAUGUAUCUGUCCAUUUCACAAAUUAUGUUUUAUUAUAUUAAAGAAUAAACCUCAUUUCUUCUACAACUUGAACAUCCAGCUUACUAUACACGGGAUCUGACUUAAUGUCAUACAGACCACUUACAAUGUGAUAGAAGCAUUGGAAGCAUUUGUUGAAAAAUAACAAUUUCACUCAAAGCACACUUUAUAGAUAGAGUUUUACAUGGUCACAGAGUUAAGUCUGAACAUUUAAAGGGAUCUGAGUCAUUCAUAUUAAUAUUGUGAAUUUCUUAUAAAUAAUUCAUUUGUUCAAGGAGUCCAGGCAAAGCCAAGCCGUGACAUUAUUUACACUAAGUACCACACCUGGAACUUGUUCUGAGUUAUUUAACACAGAGUACAUUUUUCAAUGCAAUAAAUAUUUACAGUUAAUAGUAGCAAGUACAAUUAUAAUUUAUGAAAUAUGAGUCUAAUAUUUAAAACAAAACAUAAAAUGACAUUAAAGAAGUUUGUGCCAUUUAUUUUUACAACUCACCGAAUUGACUGUUUUACGAAUUUUAUUACCCAAAACUCUACUGACUUGAAUGCAAGAAAGGUCAUGUUUGAAUCAGUAAAGCCCAGACUGCAGAAAAAAAAAAACUUUUAGAAGAUAAUGAGUUUUACUUUCUUAAUGUUAUACACGUAUUAUUAAUGUCAUUAGCUAAAAUGGAAGCAAAGUUAUGAAAAUCUGGAUUCACAACAGGCUCAAAUUAUAUAAUGUACCUUCAACAUUGAAGUUCUGAGUUAUGCCAACAUUUUUAAGCUUGUCUGGGAGUUAAUGAGGCCUUGAAUGUACGAGGUUUUACUGUCCAUUAAAAUUAUUCUUUUAAAAUGUCAUAAAAUUAUGUGAGUCCUUUCAUGUCAUUAUAUGACUCUGUGAGUGAAUUUUAAAUUGGGGGAAAAAAGGCAAAUAAUCUUAUCUUCUAGAAAUGUGAGCUCAGAGAGGGCCGAGAGACAGUGGUGUCUGUGUUUAGAACAGGGCACCUAGGGCUGGGCACUCAGAUACCUAAGUCCAUAUCUGAGUUUCUUAUCUGUCCCCUUAGUCCAGGAGAUGCUUUUCUGUUAGAGGCUAUUUAUGUAGCCUGGGUCCCCAGACUCUAGGAAACCAACCAUUGUCGUAUCUUACUCUAUUUUGGGGAAAGUGGGGGCGUAGGUGGUUCUACCUCUACCUGACACUUUUUCUCCAACUAAUUCUGAUUCAAAGAAAGAUGGCUAGAUUCGCUGUUCUCAUUUGGGUUUUCUCUCUAACUUGGUCCUUAGCAAGUUUUUUUCUCUCCUCAGACACAGAACUAGGUGGGAAAUUCUUCCCAGGGCUUCCAGUUGCAAGUGAAUUGUGUCUCUGAGUAGGGGAGAAGGAGGGUGCGAACAACUGACCUAAGGGACUUUCUGACUCACCCGCUUUGUGCUGCAUUUCAGCCUCUGCCCUCAACAAUUCCUUAAACUAGGUGCCUCAAUGCUCUUUGCAUACAUUCUUUGACUCUAUCAUUAGUUCAGGUCUCUGGACAAAACCUAGAAUAGGGAGUGGAGUUUUCUUCUAAGUACUGUGAACUUAAUUUUUCACACAGGUUGGAUUUGGGAAGCAAUGCUAAGCAGUGGAAUGGACAUCGACAUAGAGAGAUCAGCUCCACACUUAUACUCUGCCACUCAACUUCCCCAUGUGACUUGAGGAUCACUCUAACUCCAAAACAUAGCAAGCUCGCGGAACAUCAGGGUUCAUGCAAAGUAUUCCAAGGAGCCCCUUGAAGCAACAGAAUGGAUUGCUCUUCUAUGGUGGAAUGGCACCCUGGAUGAUUAAAACCGUAGCAGCAAACAAAACCUCCAUCAAGUAAGA
This 2030-nucleotide long non-coding RNA is filed under the name Homo sapiens (human). RNAcentral describes it as "HSALNT0407051". Lineage: Eukaryota; Metazoa; Chordata; Mammalia; Primates; Hominidae. The record is from RNAcentral.